RNAcentral lists this long non-coding RNA (1173 nucleotides) under Homo sapiens (human). RNAcentral describes it as "HSALNT0132045". The record is from RNAcentral. Lineage: Eukaryota; Metazoa; Chordata; Mammalia; Primates; Hominidae.
UUCUUUUUUUUUUUUUGAGAUGGAGUCUCACUGUGUCACCCAGGCUGGAGUGCAAUGGCGUGAUCUCGGCUCACUGCAAUCUCUGCCUCCCAGGUUCAAGCAAUUCUUCUACCUUAGCCUCCCAAGUAGCUGGGACCACAGGCAUGCACCACCACCCCCAGCUAGUUUUGUUUUUUUAGUAGAGAUGGGGUUUCACCAUGUUGGCCAGGCUGGUUUCAAACUCCUGACCUCAAAUGAUCCACCCGCCUCGGCCUCCCAAAGUGCUGGGAUUACAGGCUUGCGUCACCUUGGGCACGUCAUCACCUCUCUGAGCCCCGAAGCUCCUCGACAGAAGUGGAAUCAACAGUGCCCAUUUCAUUCAAGUUGUCCGGGCGAAGAAAAUGGAAAAUCAUGUCCCUUAAGCGCAAUACCUGGUAAAAAAUCUCACACUGAACUGCGGCCAUGACAACUCCAGCAUCACCCAAGGAGCCUGGACACCGAGAAGGGCAGAAGCCUGUGCGGCCCAGCCCCCGCAGCGCGGCGAGGAGGCUGCACCAACCCUUGGUCUUCAGUCACUCAACCUCCCUGGCCCAUUCUGUUUCCCAACUUAAGAAACAAAACAAAACAUAGGUAUAGAGAAGGAUUUCACUAUCGAAAGAGAAAGCGCACUGACAAGUGAUCACACUGAAGCCAAGCUGGAGAGCCACAUCCUGGCUAAACGCAGGGCCAUUUUCUAUCCGGGUCACCUGCCAUCAGGUGGAGUUAAGGCCGAUAUUGCCCAAUCGUCCUAGUUUUCAAGCAGUUCCAGAAUUCCUGUUAUGUGAACUCACCUCGUUUAACACUUGCUGUAACUCUCAAUAGAGGAUGUGAAGCACGCAGCACACACGUGCAGCUGAAUGCUGGCCAAUGUGGGCCGCUGAGUGGGCCGGGCCCAGGCUCACACCAACCUGGCACCAAGAAGUCAGAGCUCAUGAAUGUCGCUUGUACCAUGCUCCACUAUAGCUACAUCCCCUCACACUGCCGGUCAGGGAGACUGAGGCCAGUGAGGACCAUGGGAAAGUGCUGUGCCAUCUGGAAGGUGUACGCAUCAUUAACAUUUCACGAAGCCUUUUCCACCCCUAAACCCCCAACUUCAGGCUCUGCACUGAGGGGUCCCCGGACCAAUGUGUGGGUGACACUGGACGGAGCGGGUGA